This 253-nucleotide ribosomal RNA is filed under the name uncultured bacterium. Its description in RNAcentral is "partial 16S ribosomal RNA". It matches the Rfam family "Bacterial small subunit ribosomal RNA", at positions 524 to 776 of the family's 1533-position model. The record is from RNAcentral.
UACGUAUGGUGCAAGCGUUAUCCGGAAUGACUGGGUGUAAAGGGAGCGUAGACGGUUGUUCAAGUCUGAUGUGAAAGCCCUCGGCUUAACUGGGGGAGUGCAUUGGAAACUGAAGGACUAGAGUAUCGGAGAGGCAAGUGGAAUUCCUAGUGUAGCGGUGAAAUGCGUAGAUAUUGGGAGGAACACCAGUGGCGAAGGCGGCUUGCUGGACGAAAACUGACGUUGAGGCUCGAAAGCGUGGGGAGCAAACAGG